CAGUCGCCACGGUAAUACGAAGGGGGCUAGCGUUGUUCGGAAUUACUGGGCGUAAAGCGCACGUAGGCGGAUAUUUAAGUCAGGGGUGAAAUCCCAGAGCUCAACUCUGGAACUGCCUUUGAUACUGGGUAUCUUGAGUAUGGAAGAGGUGAGUGGAAUUCCGAGUGUAGAGGUGAAAUUCGUAGAUAUUCGGAGGAACACCAGUGGCGAAGGCGGCUCACUGGUCCAUUACUGACGCUGAGGUGCGAAAGCGUGGGGAGCAAACAGGAUUAGAGACCCCGGUAGUCCCUGUCUCUUAUAC
RNAcentral lists this ribosomal RNA (301 nucleotides) under uncultured bacterium. RNAcentral describes it as "partial 16S ribosomal RNA". It matches the Rfam family "Bacterial small subunit ribosomal RNA", at positions 509 to 807 of the family's 1533-position model. The record is from RNAcentral.